CAGUCGCCGCGGUAAUACGUAGGUGGCAAGCGUUGUCCGGAAUUAUUGGGCGUAAAGGGCUCGCAGGCGGUUUCUUAAGUCUGAUGUGAAAGCCCCCGGCUCAACCGGGGAGGGUCAUUGGAAACUGGGAAACUUGAGUGCAGAAGAGGAGAGUGGAAUUCCACGUGUAGCGGUGAAAUGCGUAGAGAUGUGGAGGAACACCAGUGGCGAAGGCAACUCUCUGGUCUGUAACUGACGCUGAGGAGCGAAAGCGUGGGGAGCGAACAGGAUUAGAUACCCCCGUAGUCCCUGUCUCUUAUAA
This 301-nucleotide ribosomal RNA is filed under the name uncultured bacterium. Its description in RNAcentral is "partial 16S ribosomal RNA". It matches the Rfam family "Bacterial small subunit ribosomal RNA", at positions 509 to 809 of the family's 1533-position model. The record is from RNAcentral.